RNAcentral lists this microRNA precursor (113 nucleotides) under Picea abies (Norway spruce). Its description in RNAcentral is "miR949b stem-loop (pab-MIR949b)". Its record names the gene pab-MIR949b. The record is from miRBase by way of RNAcentral. Lineage: Eukaryota; Viridiplantae; Streptophyta; Pinopsida; Pinales; Pinaceae.
AGCGGAAGGAGAAGGAGAGCUUCUCCCGGGAAUCCAAUGGGCCUUCCAAUGCGUGAAAGGCGUUCAAGAGGAAGGCACAUUUGAUUCCUAGAGAAGCUCUGGUUCUCCGAGUU